This 164-nucleotide ribosomal RNA is filed under the name Stephanbeckia plumosa. Its description in RNAcentral is "5.8S ribosomal RNA". It matches the Rfam family "5.8S ribosomal RNA". From Rfam's summary of the family: 5.8S ribosomal RNA (5.8S rRNA) is a component of the large subunit of the eukaryotic ribosome. It is transcribed by RNA polymerase I as part of the 45S precursor that also contains 18S and 28S rRNA. Lineage: Eukaryota; Viridiplantae; Streptophyta; Magnoliopsida; Asterales; Asteraceae. The record is from RNAcentral.
UAAACGACUCUCGGCAACGGAUAUCUCGGCUCACGCAUCGAUGAAGAACGUAGCAAAAUGCGAUACUUGGUGUGAAUUGCAGAAUCCCGUGAACCAUCGAGUUUUUGAACGCAAGUUGCGCCCAAAGCCAUUUGGUUGAGGGCACGUCUGCCUGGGCGUCACGC